AAAUCCCCCCAAAUACUCUUUAUAUUCCGUUUUCGGUUCUCUGCAUUCUAUUCCUUCUAUGGUACUUCUGCUUCCCUUUCUCAUUCUUUUCCCUUUUUCCACCAGUCAUGCAGUCAUUAUGACUUAUAGGAUGGAAAGCAACGUUUUGGAAAUGAAAUGCAACGCAAACUACGAGCAUGUCGGAAUGCCAUUCUGCAACUUUUUUUUUACGCCAUUCAAGGGAAAAGGUGGAUGAUGAAAAAAUGAUAUCUUGGCAAAAGUAGAAUUCCAGUAUGAGUGUAUUAAUAACGAUAUUAAG
This is a non-coding RNA of Schizosaccharomyces pombe (fission yeast), 298 nucleotides long. Lineage: Eukaryota; Fungi; Ascomycota; Schizosaccharomycetes; Schizosaccharomycetales; Schizosaccharomycetaceae. The record is from the annotation of a GenBank genome assembly.